Molecule: ribosomal RNA, 488 nt
Filed under: uncultured bacterium
Lineage: Bacteria
Description: partial 16S ribosomal RNA
Rfam family: Bacterial small subunit ribosomal RNA
Source: RNAcentral
GAUGAACGCUGGCGGCGUGCCUAAUACAUGCAAGUCGAGCGAACGGACGAGAAGCUUGCUUCUCUGAUGUUAGCGGCGGACGGGUGAGUAACACGUGGAUAACCUACCUAUAAGACUGGGAUAACUUCGGGAAACCGGAGCUAAUACCGGAUAAUAUUUUGAACCGCAUGGUUCAAAAGUGAAAGACGGUCUUGCUGUCACUUAUAGAUGGAUCCGCGCUGCAUUAGCUAGUUGGUAAGGUAACGGCUUACCAAGGCAACGAUGCAUAGCCGACCUGAGAGGGUGAUCGGCCACACUGGAACUGAGACACGGUCCAGACUCCUACGGGAGGCAGCAGUAGGGAAUCUUCCGCAGUGGGCGAAAGCCUGACGGAGCAACGCCGCGUGAGUGAUGAAGGUCUUCGGAUCGUAAAACUCUGUUAUUAGGGAAGAACAUAUGUGUAAGUAACUGUGCACAUCUUGACGGUACCUAAGCAGAAAGCCACGGCU